UGGGUGAUCUCCGGUGAAAUAAAUGAAGCUGCUGUCUCGAGGUGGCCCAACCCACUAUUCCAGGAGCACUAGAGAAUACCAGGAAGAAAAAGAUACCUACAGGAUAUCGAUUUUAAAGGAUAAAUAAUGUUGCCAGAGCUUGUGAGAAGUGAGAUGGAUUCUCUGCUCUUCCACGGCCACUCCAUGCCACAGGACAUUGGCUGCUGUAGGCAGCACCACCAGAUUCUCUUGCUGAAGCUCCUGCUGGAUUCUCAUAAGGGUUCCACCACAUCUGGCCCCUUGAUGUUGGGGUGGGAGUAGCUCCCUAAGGAAAAGUUGACUACCAGAUGCCUGUUACCAUGGCUCCAGAGCCCACUAAAGCUUUGAGUUCCUCCAGGAGAGGGUGGGUUUUGGCAGCUCCCCCUGCUGUUCGAACAACCCAGAAGCCAGGACACACCCUGCUGAUUUAGGAACGCUGGAGAGGAGCAUUUGCUGGAAACAUCUCUUCUGUUAUUCAGUGGCCAAGUGACCAAUUACUUCUAAGACAGUGAUUUCAUGAGAUGAUAGAGCGUGGUGGUUUAAGAAGUUGUUUUAAAUAAACU
Molecule: long non-coding RNA, 581 nt
Organism: Dama dama (fallow deer)
Lineage: Eukaryota; Metazoa; Chordata; Mammalia; Artiodactyla; Cervidae
Exons: 3
Source: RefSeq, a predicted model, not a curated record